RNAcentral lists this ribosomal RNA (337 nucleotides) under uncultured Blautia sp. RNAcentral's name for it is "partial 16S ribosomal RNA". It matches the Rfam family "Bacterial small subunit ribosomal RNA", at positions 354 to 704 of the family's 1533-position model. Lineage: Bacteria; Bacillati; Bacillota; Clostridia; Lachnospirales; Lachnospiraceae. The record is from RNAcentral.
UGGGGGAAUAUUGCACAAUGGGGGGAAACCCUGAUGCAGCGACGCCGCGUGAGCGAAGAAGUAUCUCGGUAUGUAAAGCUCUAUCAGCAGGGAAGAAAAAUGACGGUACCUGACUAAGAAGCCCCGGCUAACUACGUGCCAGCAGCCGCGGUAAUACGUAGGGGGGCAAGCGUUAUCCGGAUUUACUGGGUGUAAAGGGAGCGUAGACGGCAAUGCAAGUCUGAAGUGAAAGGACGGGGCUUAACCCUGUGACUGCUUUGGAAACUGUGUAGCUUGAGUGCCGGAGGGGGUAAGCGGAAUUCCUAGUGUAGCGGUGAAAUGCGUAGAUAUUAGGAGG